Molecule: ribosomal RNA, 685 nt
Filed under: Sandona trisimilis
Lineage: Eukaryota; Cercozoa; Glissomonadida; Sandonidae
Description: eukaryotic LSU rRNA
Rfam family: Eukaryotic large subunit ribosomal RNA (bases 373-685)
Source: RNAcentral
CAAUCUUUGACGCAAUUGCGCUCUUGGGUAGCCCUAGGAGCACGCCUCUCUCAGUAUCGGUUCAACAACCUCUCAGCAGCGUCGGCAUUUAUGUUGGCGUGUUGGCUGGAAAAUGAGAGUCUGAGUCGUUCACGACGCAGUCUCUUUAAGUACAUCGAGUGAAGCAUCAUACUCAAGCUAAUUAAGCUGGUCUCUGACUGGUUGCUUGGUAGUGACGUGAAUACUGACCCUUGUGGUCUCACAUUUACGUGUAUCUGCCGGCAGCUAUGAAAAGUCUAGGAUCGGUGGCUCGAGAAGGUGCCUCAUGUUACGCGGCCUCACAGCUGCAAUCGGCUUCGAAAUAAGCUUCGGCUUAUGGACUAGUCUGAAUUUUGAUCUGAGAUGAAGCGAGACAACCCCCUGAAUUUAAGCAUAUUAAUAAGGGGAGGAAAAGAAACUAACAAGGAUUCCCCCAGUAACGGCGAGUGAAGCGGGAAGAGCUCAAUUUGAAAAUCGACUACCUAAGCGGGUCGUCGAGUUGUAGCCUAGAGACGUACUAUCAGCUGAAACCUGGGUAUAAGUUCUUUGGAAUGAGGCAUCAUAGAGGGUGAGAAUCCCGUAUAUGACCCAAAGCUUUCAGCGUACGAUGUAUGUUCAUCGAGUCGAGUUGUUUGGGAUUGCAGCUCUAAAUGGGUGGUAAGUUUCA